UGCAGAAUCCCGUGAACCAUGGAGUCUUUGAACGCAAGUUGCGCCCGACGCCUUCGGGCUGAGGGCACGCCUGCCUGGGCGUCA
RNAcentral lists this ribosomal RNA (84 nucleotides) under Plantago media. RNAcentral's name for it is "partial 5.8S ribosomal RNA". It matches the Rfam family "5.8S ribosomal RNA", at positions 73 to 154 of the family's 154-position model. Rfam says of the family: 5.8S ribosomal RNA (5.8S rRNA) is a component of the large subunit of the eukaryotic ribosome. The record is from RNAcentral. Lineage: Eukaryota; Viridiplantae; Streptophyta; Magnoliopsida; Lamiales; Plantaginaceae.